GUCCUUGCUUCGGCAGCACAUAUACUAAAAUUGGAAUGAUACAGAACAGAUUAGCAUGGCCCCUGCGCAAGGAUGACACGCAAAUUUGUGAAGCGUUCCAUAUUUUU
RNAcentral lists this small nuclear RNA (107 nucleotides) under Prolemur simus (greater bamboo lemur). Lineage: Eukaryota; Metazoa; Chordata; Mammalia; Primates; Lemuridae. The record is from RNAcentral.